CGGGGUGAGUAAUGUAUGGGGAUCUGCCUGAUGGCGGGGGAUAACUACUGGAAACGGUAGCCAAUACCGCAUAAUGUCUACGGACCAAAGCGGGGGACCUCCGGGCCUCGCGCCAUCAGAUGAACCCAUAUGGGAUUAGCUAGUAGGUGAGGUAACGGCUUACCUAGGCGACGAUCCCUAGCUGGUCUGAGAGGAUGAUCAGCCACACUGGGACUGAGACACGGCCCAG
This 229-nucleotide ribosomal RNA is filed under the name uncultured bacterium. Its description in RNAcentral is "partial 16S ribosomal RNA". It matches the Rfam family "Bacterial small subunit ribosomal RNA", at positions 104 to 334 of the family's 1533-position model. The record is from RNAcentral.